This 383-nucleotide ribosomal RNA is filed under the name uncultured eukaryote. Its description in RNAcentral is "partial 18S ribosomal RNA". It matches the Rfam family "Eukaryotic small subunit ribosomal RNA", at positions 592 to 976 of the family's 1831-position model. The record is from RNAcentral.
CAAUAGCGUAUAUUAAAGUUGUUGCAGUUAAAAAGCUCGUAGUUGGAUUUCUGGUGGGAGCGAUCGGUCUGGCGCUUAGCGCGAGUACUUGCAUCGUCUCCGGCCAUCCUUGGGGAGAGUCUGUCUGGCAUUAAGUUGUCGGGCAGAGGAUCCUCAUCGUUUACUGGGAAAAAAUUAGAGUGUUCAAAGCAGGCUUAUGCCGUUGAAUAUAUUAGCAUGGAAUAAUAAGAUAGGACUUUGGUACUAUUUUGUUGGUUUGCGCACCAAAGUAAUGAUUAAUAGGGACAGUUGGGGGUAUUCGUAUUCCGUUGUCAGAGGUGAAAUUCUUGGAUUUACGGAAGACGAACUACUGCGAAAGCAUUUACCAAGGAUGUUUUCAUUAA